AUGCCUUACACAUGCAAGUCGAACGGUAACAGGUUAAGCUGACGAGUGGCGAACGGGUGAGUAAUAUAUCGGAACGUGCCCAGUAGUGGGGGAUAGCCCGGCGAAAGCCGGAUUAAUACCGCAUACGACCUACGGGUGAAAGGGGGGGAUCGCAAGACCUCUCGCUAUUGGAGCGGCCGAUAUCAGAUUAGCUUGUUGGUGGGGUAAAAGCCCACCAAGGCGACGAUCUGUAGCUGGUCUGAGAGGACGACCAGCCACACUGGGACUGAGACACGGCCCAGACUCCUACGGGAGGCAGCAGUGGGGAAUUUUGGACAAUGGACGCAAGUCUGAUCCAGCCAUGCCGCGUGCGGGAAGAAGGCCUUCGGGUUGUAAACCGCUUUUGUCAGGGAAGAAAAGUUUUGGGCUAAUAACCUGAGGCGAUGACGGUACCUGAAGAAUAAGCACCGGCUAACUACGUGCCAUCAGCCGCGGUAAUACG
Molecule: ribosomal RNA, 481 nt
Filed under: uncultured eubacterium WR113
Lineage: Bacteria
Description: bacterial SSU rRNA
Rfam family: Bacterial small subunit ribosomal RNA
Source: RNAcentral